UGGAUCCAGACUUUGAUCCUGGCUCAGGAUGAACGCUAGCUACAGGCUUAACACAUGCAAGUCGAGGGGAAACGAUAGAGAAAGCUUGCUUUUUCUAGGCGUCGACCGGCGCACGGGUGAGUAACGCGUAUCCAACCUGCCCACCACUUGGGAAUAACCUUGCGAAAGUAAGACUAAUACCCAAUGAUAUCUCUAGAAGACAUCUGAAGGAGAUUAAAGAUUUAUCGGUGAUGGAUGGGGAUGCGUCUGAUUAGCUUGUUGGCGGGGUAACGGCCCACCAAGGCGACGAUCAGUAGGGGUCCUGAGAGGAAGGCCCCCCACAUUGGAACUGAGACACGGUCCAAACUCCUACGGGAGGCAGCAGUGAGGAAUAUUGGUCAAUGGGCGAGAGCCUGAACCAGCCAAGUAGCGUGCAGGAUGACGGCCCUAUGGGUUGUAAACUGCUUUUAUAAGGGAAUAAAGUGAGCCUCGUGAGGCUUUUUGCAUGUACCUUAUGAAUAAGGACCGGCUAAUUCCGUGCCAGCAGCCGCGGUAAUACGGAAGGUCCGGGCGUUAUCCGGAUUUAUUGGGUUUAAAGGGAGCGUAGGCCGGAGAUUAAGCGUGUUGUGAAAUGUAGAUGCUCAACAUCUGCACUGCAGCGCGAACUGGUUUCCUUGAGUACGCACAAAGUGGGCGGAAUUCGUGGUGUAGCGGUGAAAUGCUUAGAUAUCACGAAGAACUCCGAUUGCGAAGGCAGCUCACUGGAGCGCAACUGUCGCUGAAGCUCGAAAGUGCGGGUAUCGAACAGGAUUAGAUACCCUGGUAGUCCGCACGGUAAACGAUGGAUGCCCGCUGUUGGUCUGAAUAGGUCAGCGGCCAAGCGAAAGCAUUAAGCAUCCCACCUGGGGAGUACGCCGGCAACGGUGCAACUCAAAGGAAUUGACGGA
Molecule: ribosomal RNA, 926 nt
Filed under: uncultured bacterium
Lineage: Bacteria
Also listed under: 1 other name
Description: bacterial SSU rRNA
Rfam family: Bacterial small subunit ribosomal RNA
Source: RNAcentral